Molecule: ribosomal RNA, 460 nt
Filed under: uncultured bacterium
Lineage: Bacteria
Description: partial 16S ribosomal RNA
Rfam family: Bacterial small subunit ribosomal RNA
Source: RNAcentral
CCUACGGGCGACAGCAGUGGGGAAUAUUGCGCAAUGGGCGAAAGCCUGACGCAGCGACGCCGCGUGAGGGAUGACUGCUCUACGGGUUGUAAACUUCUUUUAUAAAGGAAUAAAGUGAGGCACGUGUGCCUUUUUGUAUGUACUUUAUGAAUAAGGAUCGGCUAACUCCGUGCCAGCAGCCGCGGUAAUACGGAGGAUCCGAGCGUUAUCCGGAUUUAUUGGGUUUAAGGGGAGCGUAGAUGGGUUGUUAAGUCAGUUGUGAAAGUUUGCGGCUCAACCGUAAAAUUGCAAUUGAUACUGGCAGUCUUGAGUACAGUUGAGGUAGGCGGAAUGCGUGGUGUAGCGGUGAAAUGCUUAGAUAUCACGAAGAACUCCGAUUGCGAAGGCAGCUUACUAAACUGCCACUGACAUUGAUGCUCGAAAGUGUGGGUAUCAAACAGGAUUAGAUACCCGAGUAGUC